UUGGAGGGCAAGUCUGGUGCCAGCAGCCGCGGUAAUUCCAGCUCCAAUAGCGUAUAUUAAAGUUGUUGCAGUUAAAAAGCUCGUAGUUGAAUUUCGGGAUCAGAUUGUCGGUCGUGCCUCGGUACGCACUGGUAUUAUUGAUUCCUACCUUCUGAAGAACCGCGAUGUCAUUAAUUUGGUGUCGUGGGGAAUCAGGACUGUUACUUUGAAAAAAUUAGAGUGUUUAAAGCAGGCUUACGCUUGAAUACAUUAGCAUGGAAUAAUGAAAUAGGACGUUUGAUUCUAUUUUGUCGGUUUCUAGGAUUGACGUAAUGAUUAAUAGGGAUAGUUGGGGGCAUUAGUAUUCAAUUGUCGGAGGUGAAAUUCUUGGAUUUAUUGAAGACUAACUACUGCGAAAGCAUUUGCCAAGGAUGUUUUCAUUAAUCAAGAACGAAAGUUAGGGGAUCGAAGACGAUCAGAUACCGUCGUAGUCUUAACCAUAAACUAUGCCGACUAGGGAUCGGAUGAUGUUAAUUUUUUAAUGACUCAUUCGGCGCCUUACGGGAAACCAAAGUGUUUGGGUUC
Molecule: ribosomal RNA, 564 nt
Filed under: uncultured Glomeromycotina
Lineage: Eukaryota; Fungi; Glomeromycota
Description: SSU rRNA
Rfam family: Eukaryotic small subunit ribosomal RNA
Source: RNAcentral